CAGUCGCCACGGUAAUACGAAGGGGGCUAGCGUUGUUCGGAAUUACUGGGCGUAAAGCGCACGUAGGCGGCUUUGUAAGUUAGAGGUGAAAGCCCGGAGCUCAACUCCGGAAUUGCCUUUAAGACUGCAGAGCUAGCAGGUGAGAGAGGUGAGUGGAAUUCCGAGUGUAGAGGUGAAAUUCGUGGAUAUUCGGAAGAACACCAGUGGCGAAGGCGGCUCACUGGCUCAUACUGGACGCUGAGGUGCGAAAGCGUGGGGAGCAAACAGGAUUAGAUACCCCCGUAGUCCCUGUCUCUUAUAC
Molecule: ribosomal RNA, 301 nt
Filed under: uncultured bacterium
Lineage: Bacteria
Description: partial 16S ribosomal RNA
Rfam family: Bacterial small subunit ribosomal RNA
Source: RNAcentral